CAUAGGAAUAAUUACACGAAACACAUAUUAACAUGAUAUUUUGAGGACAGCCUAAAUGCAAUCCGCUACACUAAGGACAGCCUUAAUGCAAUCCGCUACACUGAUCCCCUUUGCCCACAAGCUGGCAUACACAGUCUGAUCCUCCACAUAUCGGCUUGGGGAUGUCCGGGGUUGCUCACGGAUCAUUUUUCCAAGUCUGUUUGUCUAGACAACCCGUCGGCGUUUCCAUUCUGUUUCCCCGGGUGGUACUGGAUGUUGAAGUCAAAUGGCUGCAGCGCCAAACUCCAGCGCAGCAGCCUGGCAUUGUCCCCCUCCACCCGGUUCAGCCAUACCAAUGGAUUGUGAUCUGUGAGCAAGGAAAAUGGCUGUCCAUACAAAUAUGGCUGCAACUUCUUCAGGGCCCACACCACCACCAGGCAUUCCUUCUCGAUGGCGGCAUAGCUUACUUCGCGGGGUAAUAACUUGCGACUGAUGUAAGCCACGGGAUGUUCUCCACCAUCGGCCCCGACUUGGCUCAGUACUGCCCCCAAUCCAAACAUAGAAGCAUCUGUGUGAACAAGAAAACGUUUAGUUGGAUUUGGAGCAGCCAAGACAGUGGCAUUUACAAGAGCAUUUUUCAAGUGUUGGAAUGCCUACUCAGACUCUGGGGUCCAGGUUACUUGGCGGGGAAGAUUCUUACGGGUAAGGUCAGUAAGGGGCUUGGCCAGUGCGCUAUAAUUGGGCACAAACUUUCUAUAGUACCCCGCCAUCCCUAGAAACGCUAACACCUGAGUCUUGGUCCUCGGGGUGGGCCAUUGGGCUACAGCCUCUACUUUGGCAAGCUCUGACCUUUGCUUCCCACAACCUACUCGGUGUCCAAGGUACUGGACCUCGGCCAUUCCUAUACUACAUUUAGCAGGUUUCAACAUCAAGCCUGCUUCCCUGAUUCUAUACAGAACCGCUCCUAUAUGGGCCAAGUGCUCCUGCCAGGUAUUGCUGAAGAUGGCAAUAUCAUCUAGAUAUGCGCAGGUAUAGUCUUGGAACCCGUCUAUAAGUCAGUCCACCAUCCGCUGAAAGGUAGCCGGAGUGUUUUUCAUCCCAAAUGGCACGACCUUAAAUUGGUACAGGCCGAAUGGGGUGACAAAUGCUGACUUAGGGAUGGCAUCCGGGGCCAAGGGAAUCUGCCAAUACCCCUUGUACCACAAGCACCGCACUGGACACCACAACCACUCCAGACUCCACAACCGCCGUAGCUUAACUGGAGCCUCGCCAUCUUCCAUCCACCCUGGAUCAGCUUCUAUCCUCCAGGACCGUGUGGGGAAGACCUCUCCUCCAGGAGAGCGUAUCAGGAACAAGCUCUUAAAAGAGCUAAGCGAUUCAAGCUCAGGGGAGUAUGCAGAGCAUAGCAUUCCCCAGUGUGAUUAUAGCAGCUCCCUCCAAUAACGAGACAAGGCUAUGUAUUGAGGGUCAAACAGGAUCUCUUUUACUUGGCACCAAAGGGCCUUACACAGUCCAAUAAAAGUCCAUAAGCCCAAAUGCUGAUUUAAGAGGGUACAAUCUCCCCGGGGCCAUAGUCGCAGGGGAGGAGGCAGGCAAGCUGGCCUCUCCAGGACAAAGUGGCGAAGGGCACUUCAUCACACAUCUCCCCUUUGGGGGGAAGACUAACUAGGCACCUGACCUUCUGUCGUCAGUGCCUAAGUUAGUC
Molecule: non-coding RNA, 1684 nt
Organism: Pelobates cultripes (western spadefoot toad)
Lineage: Eukaryota; Metazoa; Chordata; Amphibia; Anura; Pelobatidae
Source: the annotation of a GenBank genome assembly